UUUUUUUUGGCAGGAGACACAUCUACGAAGUCCAUGAUAUUGUGUAUUUAGUAUAAAAAAAAAAAAACAAUAAAGUGCUUAAACACGAAAAAACUAAAAAAAAUUGUUUAAAAAAACUGUGCGCGCGCAAAAACGAAAAAUUUUGAACAUGUACGCAAAUACAUAAAAUUACGAAAACAAAAUACUACAGUACGCGCUGUAAACAAACACAGACGCAGUUUCAAAAACGGCGGCGCCGUCGGUGGAAGUGGCUGCGGCCAGCCUUCGGGGAGGUUUAGUGGUGGAAAUGUGCAAGAUCGGACGAAUUUUGAUCGCCGCCCAGAAGCGUUCUUACGAUGGCACUAGUUUAAUUAUAAUUAUUAUUGUAAAUAAGUAAUCCGUUAAUGAUAACUAUUUCAUAUUGUAUUUUUAAAUGUUUUAGAUUUUUUACUGUAUUGUAAAUAUAAUAAAUAUCUCCACAACAAAACACGCAUGCAAUACUACAUAGUUAGAUUUUAUUAAAUAUGUAAGUGC
Cinara cedri is the source of this 513-nucleotide non-coding RNA. The record is from the annotation of a GenBank genome assembly. NCBI's taxonomy places the organism in Eukaryota, Metazoa, Arthropoda, Insecta, Hemiptera, Aphididae.